AGUCGAGGGGCAGCGAGAUUGAAGCUUGCUUCAAUUGUCGGCGACCGGCGGACGGGUGCGUAACGCGUAUGCAACCUACCCAUAACAGGGGGAUAACACUGAGAAAUUGGUACUAAUACCCCAUAACAUCUCGAGUGGCAUCACUUGGGGUUGAAAGCUUCGGUGGUUAUGGAUGGGCAUGCGUUGUAUUAGCUAGUUGGAGAGGUAACGGCUCACCAAGGCGACGAUACAUAGGGGGACUGAGAGGUUAACCCCCCACAUUGGUACUGAGACACGGACCAAACUCCUACGGGAGGCAGCAGUGAGGAAUAUUGGUCAAUGGACGGAAGUCUGAACCAGCCAUGCCGCGUGCAGGAUGACGGCUCUAUGAGUUGUAAACUGCUUUUGUACGAGGGUAAACCCGAAUACGUGUAUUCGGCUGAAAGUAUCGUACGAAUAAGGAUCGGCUAACUCCGUGCCAGCAGCCGCGGUAAUACGGAGGAUCCAAGCGUUAUCCGGAUUUAUUGGGUUUAAAGGGUGCGUAGGCGGUCAGAUAAGUUAGAGGUGAAAUUCCGGUGCUUAACACCGGCGCUGCCUCUAAUACUGUUUGACUAGAGAGUAGUUGCGGUAGGCGGAAUGUAUGGUGUAGCGGUGAAAUGCUUAGAGAUCAUACAGAACACCGAUUGCGAAGGCAGCUUACCAAGCUAUAUCUGACGUUGAGGCACGAAAGCGUGGGGAGCAAACAGGAUUAGAUACCCUGGUAGUCCACGCAGUAAACGAUGAUAACUCGUUGUCGGCGAUACAAUGUCGGUGACUAAGCGAAAGCGAUAAGUUAUCCACCUGGGGAGUACGUUCGCAA
This 838-nucleotide ribosomal RNA is filed under the name uncultured bacterium. RNAcentral describes it as "bacterial SSU rRNA". It matches the Rfam family "Bacterial small subunit ribosomal RNA", at positions 60 to 891 of the family's 1533-position model. The record is from RNAcentral.